CCUUCGAUAGCUCAGUUGGUAGAGCGGUGGACUGUUGAAGUUGUGAUGGUUAUCCAUAGGUCGCUGUUUCGAAUCCGGCUCGAAGGA
This is a non-coding RNA of Ciona savignyi (Pacific transparent sea squirt), 87 nucleotides long. Lineage: Eukaryota; Metazoa; Chordata; Ascidiacea; Phlebobranchia; Cionidae. The record is from Rfam.